UCAAGUAAUUAAGUGCAUGUGGUGGAUGCCUUGGCAGUCAGAGGCGAUGAAAGACGUGAUAGCCUGCGAAAAGCUCCGGGGAGGCGGCAAAUAUCCUUUGAUCCGGAGAUGUCUGAAUGGGGGAACCCACCUACUUUAAGGUAGGUAUUGCAACAUGAAUACAUAGUGUUGCAAGGCGAACGAGGGGAAGUGAAACAUCUCAGUACCCUUAGGAAAAGAAAUCAAUUGAGAUUCCCUCAGUAGCGGCGAGCGAACGGGGAUCAGCCCAUUAAGUUAUGUGUGUUUUAGUGGAACGCUCUGGGAAGUGCGAACGUAGAGGGUGAUAUUCCCGUACACGAAAGGGCACACAUAAUGAUGACGAGUAGGGCGAGGCACGUGAAACCUUGUCUGAAUAUGGGGGGACCAUCCUCCAAGGCUAAAUACUCCUGACUGACCGAUAGUGAACCAGUACCGUGAGGGAAAGGCGAAAAGAACCCCUGUGAGGGGAGUGAAAUAGAUCCUGAAACCGCAUGCAUACAAGCAGUGGGAGCACCUUCGUGGUGUGACUGCGUACCUUUUGUAUAAUGGGUCAGCGACUUAUAUUCAGUAGCGAGGUUAACCGUAUAGGGGAGCCGUAGAGAAAUCGAGUCUUAAUAGGGCGUUUAGUUGCUGGGUAUAGACCCGAAACCAGGCGAUCUAUCCAUGAGCAGGUUGAAGGUUGGGUAACACUAACUGGAGGACCGAACCCACUGUCGUUGAAAAGCCAGGGGAUGACUUGUGGAUAGGGGUGAAAGGCUAAUCAAGCCUGGUGAUAGCUGGUUCUCCCCGAAAGCUAUUUAGGUAGCGCCUCGGACGAAUACCAUAGGGGGUAGAGCACUGUUUCGGCUAGGGGGUCAUCCCGACUUACCAAACCGAUGCAAACUCCGAAUACCUAUGAGUACUAUCCGGGAGACAGACUGCGGGUGCUAACGUCCGUAGUCAAGAGGAAAACAAUCCAGACCGCCAGCUAAGGCCCCAAAAUCAUAGUUAAGUGGGAAACGAUGUGGGAAGGCAUAGACAGCUAGGAGGUUGGCUUAGAAGCAGCCACCCUUUAAAGAAAGCGUAAUAGCUCACUAGUCGAGUCGGCCUGCGCGGAAGAUGUAACGGGGCUAAAACUAUGUGCCGAAGCUGCGGAUGUAUACUUUGUAUACGUGGUAGGGGAGCGUUCUGUAAGCCGAUGAAGGUGUGUUGAGAAGCAUGCUGGAGGUAUCAGAAGUGCGAAUGCUGACGUGAGUAACGACAAAACGGGUGAAAAACCCGUUCGCCGAAAGACCAAGGGUUCCAGUCCAACGUUAAUCGGGGCUGGGUGAGUCGACCCCUAAGGCGAGGCCGAAAGGCGUAGUCGAUGGGAAAAUGGUUAAUAUUCCAUUACUUCUGUGUAAUGCGAUGAGAGGACGGAGAAGGCUAAAUCAGCCUGGCGUUGGUUGUCCAGGUGAAAGGAUGUAGGCAUGUAUCUUAGGCAAAUCCGGGGUACUCUAUGCUGAGAUCUGAUAGCAAGCUGUACUUGUACAGCGAAGUGGUUGAUGCCAUGCUUCCAGGAAAAGUCUCUAAGCUUCAGUUACACAGGAAUCGUACCCGAAACCGACACAGGUGGUCAGGUCGAGUAGACCAAGGCGCUUGAGAGAACUCUGCUGAAGGAACUAGGCAAAAUGGUACCGUAACUUCGGGAGAAGGUACGCUGUUGUUGGUGAUGGAACUCGCUUCCUGAGCUGACGACAGCCGCAGAAACCAGGCCGCUGCAACUGUUUAUUAAAAACAUAGCACUCUGCAAACACGAAAGUGGACGUAUAGGGUGUGAUGCCUGCCCGGUGCUGGAAGGUUAAUUGAUGGGGUUAGCGUAAGCGAAGCUCUUGAUCGAAGCCCCAGUAAACGGCGGCCGUAACUAUAACGGUCCUAAGGUAGCGAAAUUCCUUGUCGGGUAAGUUCCGACCUGCACGAAUGGCAUAAUGAUGGCGGCGCUGUCUCCAGCAGAGGCUCAGUGAAAUCGAAAUCGCUGUGAAGAUGCAGUGUACCCGCGGCUAGACGGAAAGACCCCGUGAACCUUUACUGCAGCUUGACACUGAACUUUGACCUUACUUGUGUAGGAUAGGUGGGAGGCUUUGAAGCUGGAACGCUAGUUCCAGUGGAGCCGUCCUUGAAAUACCACCCUGGUAAUGUUGAGGUUCUAACUCUGUCCCGUGAUCCGGGACGAGGACCGUGUCUGGUGGGUAGUUUGACUGGGGCGGUCUCCUCCUAAAGAGUAACGGAGGAGUACGAAGGUGCGCUCAGCGUGGUCGGAAAUCACGCGUAGAGUAUAAAGGCAAAAGCGCGCUUAACUGCGAGACCCACAAGUCGAGCAGGUACGAAAGUAGGUCUUAGUGAUCCGGUGGUUCUGUAUGGAAGGGCCAUCGCUCAACGGAUAAAAGGUACUCUGGGGAUAACAGGCUGAUACCGCCCAAGAGUUCAUAUCGACGGCGGCGUUUGGCACCUCGAUGUCGGCUCAUCUCAUCCUGGGGCUGAAGCAGGUCCCAAGGGUAUGGCUGUUCGCCAUUUAAAGAGGUACGCGAGCUGGGUUUAGAACGUCGUGAGACAGUUCGGUCCCUAUCUACCGUGGGCGCUGGAAAUUUGAGAGGAUCUGCUCCUAGUACGAGAGGACCAGAGUGGACGAACCUCUGGUGUACCGGUUGUGACGCCAGUCGCAUCGCCGGGUAGCUAUGUUCGGAAGGGAUAACCGCUGAAAGCAUCUAAGCGGGAAGCCUACCUCAAGAUAAGAUUUCCCUAGGACUUUAUGUCCUCUAAAGAGCCGUUCGAGACUAGGACGUUGAUAGGUUGGAUGUGGAAGCAUAGUGAUAUGUGAAGCUGACCAAUACUAAUUGCUCGUGAGGCUUGACUAU
Molecule: ribosomal RNA, 2891 nt
Filed under: Acinetobacter baumannii 24860_1
Lineage: Bacteria; Pseudomonadati; Pseudomonadota; Gammaproteobacteria; Moraxellales; Moraxellaceae
Description: bacterial LSU rRNA
Rfam family: Bacterial large subunit ribosomal RNA
Source: RNAcentral